AAAAUGAGUCUCCACUAUUACCAAUCAACCCACUAACAACCAAAAAUACUAAUUUAUCUCCAACUUUGAUAAUAAAGAACGAUACUCAACAUAAGACUAUAAUAAUAAAAUAAUACUCAUCACCCUAAAAGAAUGACUAUGGAGCGACUCUAAGAAUUCAAAGAAAAGACCAUAACAAUAAAUGAAAUCUCCGCCCACGCGAAUAAAUGCGAGGCUCACCAUGAACUAUCAACCUGUGCGCUCUAAUUAACAAAAUCCUCGCAUGUGUCAACUGUUGUCUCUGUAAAAAAAUUAGCGGGGAAUGAAUCGCUAGCUCAGUGAGUAAUAACACUUAACACAACCGUUUUUAUUGGGGACAAGUCAGAAAACAUGCUAAUAUAUCAAACAGAAAAUAACAUAAGAAUGCCCUUUCAGAAAUAAUAAAUAAUUUUCAGUCUCAUCAUGUUUAUCUUGUAGUAUAAUACACUUAAAAAUUCAGUAAUCACCUCGGUAACCACUAUAUAAUAUCAAUAUUCACAUUUUGGGAGGUUUCAAUGAACGGAUAAUAUAAUCGGUAUAACUGUGGACUUCUUCACAAGAAGUCAAAUAUAAUGGUAGUCCCUACUCAAGGGAAAUCGGUAACGGUAUGUUAGUUCUACCUUCCCACUAGCGAGGGCUAUAACGGUAAUCUGUAAUUACAAGGUGCAUCAGGUCUAACGAACCCGCCGUUAGCUACGGGAUCCUUCAAUGACUACUCCCAUUUAUACUUGUCUUUGUAAUCCAUAUAUACUCGUAGAAAAUAUUUUAAAAACAAUAUAGGGCAUUUCGGUUCUUAUCAAAUCAUAUAAUAUCAUUUCGAUAACAGUAAAUUCAAGUAACGGUAAAACAGAUCUAGUGACAAUGGAAAUAUUUAAAAUCACGGUAAUCAUCUCAAAUAACUAUUUCAGUAUAAUAUCGAGUAAAAAACUUGCCCCACAUGCAACUCAAAAUAAUCGGUAACAUAUUCAUAUUAAAAAUCAUGUGUAAAUCAUGCAAGUUAUGAAAACACAAACUGCGGUAAGAUUACUACUCACUGUACUUGUGUCGAAUUACCAAACGCUUCACCUCGAGCAAUCUGUACAACUUUCUCCGAUCAAUCUCUUUUGCGAUUUUUUUGCUUCCCCCAAAAACUUCAAAUUCGUAGACUUUGCUUUCUUGUUCAAGCUUUAUGCAGAUAAAGCAAUGCUUUGUAUCUCUUUCCCCAAACUCCAUCACGAUUUACUGCCUUAGUAAAGCACCCAAAUUGAAGCCC
This 1270-nucleotide long non-coding RNA is filed under the name Nicotiana tabacum (common tobacco). Its description in RNAcentral is "long non-coding RNA (NTAB_LNC004872)". Lineage: Eukaryota; Viridiplantae; Streptophyta; Magnoliopsida; Solanales; Solanaceae. The record is from RNAcentral.